AGUCGAGCGGGAUGGUAGCUGAAGGUGAUGAGCUGGAAGCUGCCAUCUUAGCGGCGGACGGUGAGUAACACGUGAGCAACCUACCCUCAGCACGGGGAUAACAGCUCGAAAGGGCUGCUAAUACCCGAUGGGACCACGUCAUUGCAUGGGUGAUGUGGCAGAAAAAAGAGUUGGAGGUAAGGUCCAUACCGGCUGGGGAUGGGCUCGCGGCCCAUCAGCUAGUUGGUGGGGUAACGGCCUACCAAGGCGACGUAGGGUAGCCGGCCUGAGAGGGUGACCGGCCACAGUGGGACUGAGACACGGCCCACACUCCUACGGGGGGCAGCAGCGGGGAAUCUUGCGCAAUGGGCGAAAGCCUGACGCAGCGACGCCGCGUGAGGGAAGGAGCCCUUCGGGGUGUAAACCUCUUUGGACGGGGGAGAAGUAGGAGAUUGUACCCGUUUUAAAAAGCCACGGCUAACUGCGUGCCAGCAGCCGCGGUAAUACGUAGGUGGCGAGCGUUGUCCGGAAUUACUGGGCGUAAAGGGUGCGUAUGCGGCCUGGUAAGUUGAGCGUGAAAUUUUUGGGCUCAACCCAAAAGGAGCGUUCAAGACUGCCAGGCUUGAGUGCGGGAGAGGACGGCGGAAUUCCCGGGGGUAGCGGUGAAAUGCGUAGAUAUCGGGAGGAACACCAGUGGCGAAAGGCGGGCCGUCUGGACUGUAACUGACGCUGAGGCACGAAAGCGUGGGGAGCAAACAGGAUUAGAUACCCCUGGUAGUCCACGCUGUAAACGAUGGAUGCUAGGUGUGGGGGAGAAGAACUCUUCCGUGCCGUAGUUAACACAAUAAGCAUCCCGCCUGGGGAGUACGGCCGCAAGGUU
RNAcentral lists this ribosomal RNA (859 nucleotides) under uncultured bacterium. Its description in RNAcentral is "bacterial SSU rRNA". It matches the Rfam family "Bacterial small subunit ribosomal RNA", at positions 60 to 895 of the family's 1533-position model. The record is from RNAcentral.